GCUGGCGGUCCGCCACGGCAUGCCAGGCGGCAGGGUCGAGCGGUACUCCCUGGUGCUGUCCGACGGCCUGCACACAAUGGAGAUCAAGCUCAUCACGCCCCUAAGGCAUCUCGUCAGGGACGGCUGUGUCCGCCGGGCCUCCGUCGUGCGCUUCCUCUGGUACUGCAGCAUCUUCGAGAGUAAUAGGUUAACCAAACACACGGCUACAGGGCACCAUGCUAUAAGUCGUUCCAUCUACUGGACUCCAAGUGAUGGCUCUCCAUUCAGAUGUAUUCAGUGGUUUGGCUAUUGUGGUCUCAUAUCUGAAUCGGACCACUGUUAUUAUUAGUGGACUUGGUAUCGGCAUCCUACUACAGUUUGACAAGUCAGUGUGCCACGCGUUGGAUAAGCAUGUCAAGAGCAGGGUGUACUUCAAGAGGUGAUCAACGCAGACUACCACGACCCGGUGGGCGUCGUUCUCUUCAACAACUUGGAGGCGGAUUUUGACAUGAAGCCCGACGACCGCGUCACACAGAUGAUUGUCUAGGUGAUUGCAAUACCGGAGGUUGUCGAGGUGGAGGACCUUGACGUCACCGUCCGGAGGUCGUCGAGACAGAGGACCUCGACGCCACCAUCUCGAGGUUGCCGAGGUGGAGGACCUCGACACCACCUUCUCGAGGUUGCCGAGGUGAAGGACCUCGACGCCUUGGUAGAUACAUUUAGAGAAGUGGUCAUGUUAGGUUGGUGGUGGAAUGCUAGGGAAGGUACCCACCUUUCGGUGACAGUUGUGUGCA
Triticum dicoccoides is the source of this 773-nucleotide RNA transcript. RefSeq lists it as uncharacterized. The transcript is spliced from 5 exons. NCBI's taxonomy places the organism in Eukaryota, Viridiplantae, Streptophyta, Magnoliopsida, Poales, Poaceae. The record is from RefSeq and is a predicted model, not a curated record.